GUGGGUUUUAAGGAUUUUGAGUUGUUUAACUUAUCAAUGCUAGCGAGGCAGGCUUGGCAUCUGUUACAAAAACCACAAAGUAUGUGUGCGCGGAUGUUGAGAGGCAUAUAUUACCCGAAUGGCAAUAUCCUGAGUGCUCAACUAGGCAGCUCCCCAAGUCAGAUCUGGAGAGCAAUAAUCGAAGGCCGUGAUAUUUUGCAGCAAGGAUUGAUACGCCGAAUUGGGAAUGGAGAGAGUAUAAAAAUCUGGGAUGAUAACUGGUUACCUAGAAUGGAGAUGAAGAGACCAUAUGGAUGCUUGAGUAACAAUCCACCUACAUAUGUCUCUGAAUUGAUUGAUAUGACAUCGGCUGUCUGGGACAAACAGAAGAUCCAAGCGACCUUUCUCAACAUGGACGCGAAAAUAUCCUGGGUAUCCCUAUCUGUACAAUGA
RNAcentral lists this ribosomal RNA (432 nucleotides) under Triticum aestivum (bread wheat). RNAcentral describes it as "partial small subunit ribosomal RNA". The record is from RNAcentral. Lineage: Eukaryota; Viridiplantae; Streptophyta; Magnoliopsida; Poales; Poaceae.